Molecule: non-coding RNA, 9732 nt
Organism: Rattus norvegicus (Norway rat)
Lineage: Eukaryota; Metazoa; Chordata; Mammalia; Rodentia; Muridae
Source: RefSeq, a predicted model, not a curated record
UCUCAUAGAGUACGUCUGAUGGCAAUGAAGCUGUAGCAAGACAAGAAAGCUUUACAAAUGUAAGGCCCCAGGAUAGUCACGUAGUGUAACCAGAGAAACAAUUUGUCUGGUUUAUGGUUUUCAGGUACCACAAAUCCUUGUUUAAACUGGAAGAUAACAGCAACUGUAUUCAUCAUAUUGUUUCUCAUUUCAUGGAUCAUCAUUGGGGCCCAUUGCUAUAUUCAUUUCAAAAAGGAAAGGUAAGAUAUAUGGACAGACAGACAGACAGAUAUAGCAAUAGUGACCUGAUGUGUCAGAGAAACUAGAUACAAUAGAGCUAGAUGGAAAUAUUUUUUUAAUUCCAGGGGUUCUGGAAAAAUCUAUCGAGAAAAGAAUAGUGAAGGAAAUCUUGUUCCCAUGUGCUAGACAGUUCUUGAUAUCCGGUGAUUAAAAAUUUGACCACUAGCAGGCAUUUUAUGUUACAGUAAAUUGAGUGUACUAAUUUUUAAAGCAAAAUGUUUAUUUUUAUAUUAUGAGCUUCUUUUAUUUGUGUGUUUCUGUAUGUUACAUGCAUGUUUGGUGCCAGUGAGGACCUGAAGAGAGUGUGAAAAUUGAGUUGCAGGCAGUUAUGAGACCUCCAUAUGGGUGCUGGGAACUGAACCAGGGUCCUCUAAUGAAGCUACAAGUUGUCUUAACUGGUGAGCCAUCCCUCCAUCACAAGUUUAAGAUUCUUUAUUGAGAAUGAGUUUUCACAGAAGAAAGCACAAGGUCCAGGGAAACGGGUGAGAGAGAGAUCUAGAGCCAGGAAGCCUGGGACAGAUCCAACUGAGCCAUAAGGUGAAAUGGAAAUCUUACUUUGUAGGGUUAAUAUAAUAAAAUACACAUCCAAUGAAAGACCCCCUCCCAGAAAGGGAAGGCCCUCAACUAUAGAAGUAAAAAGUAAGUUUUUAGAUAUGUGGGACAAGCUGACCUAUCAUUUAGACGAAACAGACCAGAAAAGAAAACAAAAUGCAGAAACUAGACUAAAAUAUGGGCAUUGCUCCAUGGGCCACCUGGCAGGGAAAAAGAAACAGUCCCCGACCCCCCGGGAGACCCGACCACCAUGUACUUUUUGCUAACUCAUUGUUAUGAUUAUAGCCAAAAUAGGUGAUGUACACGUAUGUCUCAUUUACUCCACCAAUCACAUCCCUGUAACCAUGCAUCUGCUUCUGUAAGCCUGCUUCUGCUCCCCAAAAUACUAUAAAAAGCCUACCCUGGCUCUGCUAGGCGCGCCAGUCUUCCGAAUUGACUGGGACGCCCACAGAUACCUGUGUAUCCUGAUCAAUAAAAAUCCUCUUGCAGAUUGCAGCCUGUGGACUCGGUCUGGUCAUUGGGCUUGAGGAUCUCCCUCCUGAGGGAAGAUUCUCUCUGAGAGUCUUACAUAUGGGGGCUCGUCCGGGAUCGGAGAUCCUCUGCCCAGAGACCACCGACCACCCACCGGGAGGUAAGCUGGCCAGUGUUUGUCUUGUCCUGUCUUGUCUUGCUUUGUGACUUGUUCUGUAAAUGCUUAGUUACUUGGCUUGGGUCUAGACCGUUUGUAUUUGGGCGGGCCAGAGAAGGAGCUGACGAGCUCGGACUUCUCCCCCGCAGCCCUGGAAGACGUUCCAAGGGUGUUUGGAGCCCGGUUUUUCGGGGCUUAGCCUGUAUCGGAAGGAUACGUGGUUUUGGGUUGGAGGAGAGAGGAGAGAGCCAGAUCCACUGAAGGAUCCGGACCCUCGUCGCCUCUGUCUGAAUUUUUGGUUUCAGUUUGACACCGAAGCCGUGCAGUGCGUCUGUCUGUCUGACUGUUGGAAUUGUUUGUCUUCUUUGUGUCCUAAUUUUCUUUGAACAUCUGUGGAAACUGGUUAUAGGAUGCUUUGUCUUGGUCUUGUUUGUCUGGUUUGUUUUCUGUGGUAUUGUCGAGUGUCUUUUUGGCUUUUGUUUCGUUUUUGAAUUUGGACUGACGACUGUGUUUGAAAUCUUGGACUGACAACUGUGUUUAAAAUCUUGGACUGACGACUGUGUUUGAAAUCAUGAAACUAUUUAUUUGCUUUGUUUGUCAAGGAGUUUUACUUGAUCCUCUUGGUGCUUAACUUGGAAAUAAUUUGCUUGAGAAAAAUUGUUUUCUGCCGGGGAGUUUUAUCUUUCUCUCUUGGGCCUCCUCCCCAGGGAAAGAUGCCCCUCCCUUUGCUCCCCUUGUCCAGUCUAGCUGCUGUUAACAGUUGUGUAUGAAGAACUCCAGGUUAGUGAGUGACCCUGUCUGAAGCAGGUAUUAACAAGAGCCUGAAAGCUUUACCUUAGAUCCUGAAGAAAAAUUCUCCCUGUUGCUUAAACAUUCACAGCUUCUAAGGAAGGGACAACACAGAGUAGGAAAAUGUAGGGGCUGAGGGUGACAAGCAUGCAGGCCUGCUAGCAAGCUGCAGGCUGCGCGUGGGCAGUGGUGCAGCUCUGGCCAAGUCAGCGUAAGAGGAGUUUCAAGGUGAUGAGGCCGGCUGGGGUUGACGCUUUGACAACAAGAAGAUAGCGUAGAGUUAGUGGUUGUUUUAUGAGACUUUUGGCCCUGAAAAUAAUAAUAAUUCCAGUUGCUGCUUUCAGUGCCCAGACCUUCAACACUUGCUCACAGAAGGAGAGUGUUCAUUAAGAGAAGUUCUUUAAGGGAGCCUGCUAUAUCUGCUGGCCCUAUUCCAAGAGAGGAGUUGAUCUCCAACAUUAAGUAACCUUCCCUGUUAGUCAUCAUUGACAUGGAGAGUGCCUUUGAUCCUAUCCCCACAGCAGCCAGUUCCUACCCCUGUGGUCAAAAUGCCCCAGGUUGGGGGACAGAGAAGCCCCUGAGAUAGUUUCGGAGGGAAUCUGCAACAAACUGUGAAGAACUUUGUUUUGCCAGUCAAAAUUUAGAAUUCAGGCUUUGGCUGUGGCCAAGGUCAGGAUUAAUGUUUUCUUUUCCAUGGGCCUUUAGCCCACUGAGACAGUUUGGUAAAGGGCUGCUACUGAGGUCCUGAAAGUCCCAGGUGAACUGGUUACAAUUCUUUUGUCAGCCACUUGGCAUCUAGCACCCAGGUCCUAACCAUCUCUCCAUCCUUUUGUUAUUAGUUCUUAAGUCCAGAGAGAUAGUCGGUAACAGAUCAGCUCCCUCUCUGCUUGCCGUUCUGUUUCACAGACACAAAGCUUGUGCUUAUUUUUACAAUGGCCUUUUUGUCCCAAAAGUCCUCCUGGUUUAGCUGUGUGACUAAAUGCUUUUUGUCCUCUUCAGUGAACCUCUAUUCUCUAGAUUCUCUUCUUGUUUUCUCACAUCCCAUUUGAGAUGCUUGUUAGUAACUAUUACAGGUCUUCUUUACUACCGAGGAAAGACGGAAUCCUACUGGAGGCCAGAAAGAAUGUUCCAGACAUGGAUAGAAGACCCUCACUCCUGACUGUUGACUUGAAUGCGCCUAAAGGACUUGAAUGCGCCUAAAGGUAGGGAGUGCUCCAGGUCUGCCGCCAGACUCCAAGGGUGGGUCUCUGAGGGGCUGAAAACUGCCCCACCAAUCUGGCUAAGAUAAGGAAAAGAUAUAAAGAGAGAAAGUUACAGAAAUUUAAAGGGUUAAGCUAAGUUGCUGAGAGUUAGUGUAAGUUGCAGAGAAAGUAAAGUUGAAGUGUAGUUACAUAAGUGGACAGCAUCUAAUAGCUGUAGAGGAAGAUGCAGAAGAUAUGAGAGAGAGACUGAGGAAGAGAAGAGAGAGAAAGAGGAAAGAAGGUAAAAAGAGCAGGAAGCUAAGAAAGAAAAGAGACAAAAGGAAGAAGAAGCUAGAAAGCUAAAAGAGGGAUAAAAGACAGGAGAGGAAUAUAUACUGGCCACAGUAGUUAGGGAACCUAGGAAGACAGUACCUGGCACAGAAGAGAAUUCCUAGCUAAAGAUCAGUGUGCCUAUCGCAAAGAAAAAGGACAUUGGGUGAGGGACUGCCCCAGGAAGAACAAGAGAGGCCUCUCCAGCAGCCCGGAAGGCAAGCCUCUUGGUCCUAGAGUGCUGGCUAUGCGCUAAGAUAGAAGGGAAGCCUGCCCAGUUGUUUUGUGAAUACGGGGGCCCAACACUCUGUGCUCCUACGCCCAAAUGGGCUAGUGUCCAGCAAAAGACCUUGAGUGCAAGGGGCUACCGGCAACAAAUGAUACUCAUGGACUACCCGAAGAACGGUGGACCUUGGCGUGGGCCGGGUAUCCCACUUGUUCCUUGUGAUUCCAGACUGCCCCUACGAGUCUAAACCCUGCAACCCUGCUCCCGGACCCCGACCUAGACACCCCCCUUCAUGACUGUCACCAGGUGCUCACUAAAGCACAGGAGUGGCAUAAAGAUCGGACUGAUCAGCCAACAGAGGGGGUAGAUGCCAUCUGGUUCAUAGAUGGGAGCAGCUUCUUAGAGAAGAAAAAAGAUGGGCUGGGGCAGCAGUGGUAGAUAGAAACAGAAUCAUAUGGGCUCAGGCCCUACCAGAAGACACUUCUACUCAGAGGGUAGAGCUCGCUCCCCUCACCAAAGCCCUUGGACUGAGAAAGGGACUUAACAUCUAUGUGGACAGCACGUAUGCCUUUGCUACAGCCCAUCAGCAGAGGGACCUGCUGACAUCUGAGGGCAAGAAAGAAAAAAAAGAGAUUCUGGCUCUGUUAAGGGCCCUCCAUGACCCAGCCAGGCCGAGGAAGAGACUCUGGUACACCUCAACGAGAAAGAAGAUCCUGCUACAAUUUUUACAGGCAGAGGCCAUGGUAAAACAAAUGCAUCAAUAGACUCACUUAGGGGUAAGCAAACUCAUCCAGACGUUUUCAAAAACUAAAUAUUAUGUUACAGGUCUCAAGUAUCUCAUGGAACAGAUAGUGCACUGAUGUAUACCAUGCCAAAAGGUAACUGUUUUCAGGAAAGUUGACUCCGUGGGGAACGGCCUGGAUACUACUGAGAAGUGGACUUCACAGAGAUAAAACCAGGAAAAUAUGAUUUCAAAUGUCUCCUAGUGUUUAUAGAUAUCUUUUCAGGAAUAGAUAGAAGCUUUCCCCACCAAGCAAGAGACGGCCUCAAUAGUCAUCAAGAAGAUACUAGAAGAAAUCUUCCCCCGAUUUGGAGUGCCCAAGGUAAUCUGGUCAGACAACGGCCCUACUUUCGUUGCCAAGGUAAGCCAGGGUGUGGCCAAGUAUUUAGAGGUUGAUUGAAAAUUACGUUAUAUUUACAGACCUCAAAGUUCAGGACAGGUAGAAUAAAUAAAUAAGACUCUAAAAGAGACCCUGACCAAAUUGACCAUGGAGACUGGCGUAGACUGGGUGACACUCCUUCCCUCUUGCUCUCUUCAGAGCAAGAAAUACCCCUUCCAGAUUCAGCUUUACCCCCUUUGAGAUCUUAUAUGGGGCCUCAGCUCCCCUGACUGUAUUAGAUGAUGUUACUGAACCAACAUGUCAUAGUAAUAAUGAUUUAUAUGCCAGGCUAAAAGACCUACAGGUGAUACAGAAAGAAAUCUGCUCACAGCUGACAGCAGCCUAUGCCCCGGAGACCCCUGAGACAUGUCAUCAGUUCCAGGUUAGAGACUGCAGCUACACUGAGCCCAGACACUCGAGCCUCGCUGGAAAGGACCGUACCUGGUGCUGCUGACCACCCUGACAGCCAUCAAGUCUCAGCCCUCACCAGCAGCAUACUAGCUGUUAGGGCUGAGAGCUGGGACCUAGAGGGACACUCAGAUCUUCAAAAAGCUCCCUAGACUUAAGUGACUGGGAGGUUGCUAUAAUGCUCACUUGAGGAGUGUGUUUUAGAAACAAGAAUUUCAAAAUAGCCUGUUUGCCCUGGGUUCCCUCGGAAUAGGUGUAAGGAUAGGCUUGAUUUUUAUUACAAAUGAUGUAACAUUGCAUAUGUUAGUACUCCUAACACUUCUUGGGACUGUGCCUCAGGGACCAUGAGUUUAAAAGUUCUAAGAUAGUCAUGACCUUGGUAUAUAGGUUUAAAUAGUGUUCAGAUUGGAAUCCUAAAGCCUUUUUAGCUGACCUCCAAGAACACCUAACCUCCCUCUCAGAGGUAGUCCUUCAAAAUAGAAAAAAAAUUAGACCUGAUAUUCCUUAAAGAAAGAGUCUGUGUGCUACACUAAAAGAAGAAUGUUUCUAUACAGAUCAGACAGGAAUAAUAAGAGAUAUAGUCUUUCAGUCAUUCAAACUUUUGUGCUGAGACAACAGUAUCAGAUGGUAAAAAAAAAUAAAAAAAAAAAAACAAAAAACCAGAGGUACCUUAACCAAGUUGAGUGGAAGAUUCCACUCAAGGACAAAAAGAAAAUGGGGGAAUGAAAGACCCCCUCCCAGAAAGGGAAGGCCCUCAACUAUAGAAGUAAAAAGUAAGUUUUUAGAUAUGUGGGACAAGCUGACCUAUCAUUUAGACGAAACAGACCAGAAAAGAAAACAAAAUGCAGAAACUAGACUAAAAUAUGGGCAUUGCUCCAUGGGCCACCUGGCAGGGAAAAAGAAACAGUCCCCGACCCCCCGGGAGACCCGACCACCAUGUACUUUUUGCUAACUCAUUGUUAUGAUUAUAGCCAAAAUAGGUGAUGUACACGUAUGUCUCAUUUACUCCACCAAUCACAUCCCUGUAACCAUGCAUCUGCUUCUGUAAGCCUGCUUCUGCUCCCCAAAAUACUAUAAAAAGCCUACCCUGGCUCUGCUAGGCGCGCCAGUCUUCCGAAUUGACUGGGACGCCCACAGAUACCUGUGUAUCCUGAUCAAUAAAAAUCCUCUUGCAGAUUGCAGCCUGUGGACUCGGUCUGGUCAUUGGGCUUGAGGAUCUCCCUCCUGAGGGAAGAUUCUCUCUGAGAGUCUUACACCAUUUAUCCAGCUCCCUGGUGGAUGGCAAUGCACGAUGGAAGAUAAGUGUAAAUACGAUACUAGGCAGUGACAGGAAAAACUGUAGACCUAAUUGGUGGCGUGUGAUUUGUUUUUCUGUCAUUAUAUAUUCUUUAAAUUUAAAAACCUUUGGUGUAUUUGUUCUACCACAUUGCAAUCCAAGGAAAUGUAUAAACCAAAGAAGCUUGAGAAUCUUCUCUAUAAUCUAGAAAGCUCUGUCACUGGAGUGCGGAAGACAUACCUUAUAAGAGAAGAAUGUAGAGACUGCUACACUAGUCAGGAUGACAUAUGUCUGGAAUCAAGAGGUUGAAAAGAGGAGGAGGGAUUAAAGCUAUAUGUAGGAUGGGAUUUCCUGAAUGACAGCUGCGGAGAGAGAGUGACUUAUCUUACUUAUCUUACUCAAGUGAUUUAACACUAAGGAAAACUUGCAUAAACAUGUGAAAGAAUAGAAAAAUGGCAAUCUUUGCAGGGAGGAUUAAGAAUUCUGUUUGGAACAUUGUCACUUUUAAAUGUCUGCUUUAUACCCAGGAGCUAUGUUAAUUAAGUAUCCACAUGUAAAACUUGGGAUUUUUUGGAGCAAAUGAUAAAUAAGUUUGCUAAUAUGGAAGUUAUGAUCACUGUGAAGAGAGAUCAUAAAUUACUGUUUUCACAAUUUAAGGUAAAAAUAAUAGUCAAGUUAUAGUAAUUGGGACAAAGUAGAGGAAGAACAACCUUUGCAGAGAGGAUUAAGAGUUUGAACGCUGUAAUUUUUAAAUGCCUACUUUAUAUCCUAGGGAGUAUGUUAAUUAAAUAUCUACAUGUGUGAAUCGAGGGUUGUGGAGCAGAGGAUAAGUUUUAUGAUAUAAGGCUCUGACCUCUAUGGAGACACACCAUAAACUAUUGCUCUCAUUAUGUUAAAUUAAAAACAUUUCGCAAGUUCUAAUAUAUUGGUCAAGUGUUUGAUAGGAGAGUAUAUGAAUGUCUUUAAUUUUAAUUGAUAACCAGUGAUUGCAAUGUGCUGCCAAUGUAUUUGGUCAGUAUUCAGUUUAUUUCUGUAAUUCUCAUGGUAUCUCUAGGUCAGAGAACUUGCCUGAACCAUCACCACUGCAGAUGUCUAACACAAUACCAACUCUGAUACCCACACCACCAACAAAAGAAACCGAGAACUUGAUAAGCCAACACCACCAGACAGAUCUAAUUGGAAAUCUGUGUGUUGUACAGUCAUCAUCAGAAGAGCAACCUCCCGCUGGAUGGGAACAACUAUAGAGACUCACAGAUAUUAAACAGAGAGUGGGAAACCUUGGAACACUCAGUGCUGAAUUGAAUGUCUCCAUCAAACUCAUUCCUUCCUCACAGCUCAGGAAACCCUGCAGAAGAGGAGGUGAAAAGAGCCUAAGAGGCAGAGCAGACAGAGGAGGACACCACAAAAACAAGACCUUCUAUUUUUUUUUUUCUUUCCGUUUUUGAGACAGGGUUUCUCUGUGUAACCUUGGCUAUCCUGGAACUCUUUGGAGACCAGGCUGGGCUUAAACUCACAAAGAUAAGCCUGUCUCUGCCUCUUGAGUGCUGAGAUAUGAUGGGUGCGUGAUACCACCGCCUGCCAAGGCCUUCUGAAUUAGCAUGAACAAAGCUCAAAUGAACUCAGAGACUGAAGGAGCAUGCUCAGCGAUUAUACAUAGUAUCUGCCCCAGAUCCUUUGCAGACAUAUUAUGGUUCCUAGUUUAGUGUUUCCAUGAGAUUCCAUUAGUGCAAACAAAUGAGUUUAUGAUUUGUGUGCCUUCUCUUGACCUCACUUUCUUCUGUUACUUGUCCAACUUCAAAGUGAUAGUAUUUGUUUUAUUUUAUUAUAUUUUGAGAAAAGUGAAUUAGUGAGUAAAUGAAAGACUAGCUAUUAAGGGAAAAGGGAAUGCUAAGCUGCCAUUUACACCUUCUGGCAAAGGGAAGAGCAGUUUUUCCAAUAGAGUAACCCUGGGUAUAUCAACCAUUCUCUAGAAGCCUCAUGUUCAGGAACUGACCAACCAAUAAUGGACUCCAUACUUUUGUUUGUUUUUUGUUGAUAGUUAUUCUGCAUGCUUUAAUUAGGUUACAGUUUGUGGGGGUUUUUGUUUUGUUUUGUUUUGUUUGUAGGGAUGUGCUUGGGGUGUUGUUUUUUGUUUUCUUGGAUUUUGUUUUGCAUUGGCUUUUUGUUUAUUUUUUGAAAAAGAACUUAAAGUCGGUUGGGUAGGAGGGGGUUGAGAACCUGAAUGGACUUCAGAGAGUGGAAAAAUAGAAUCAAAAUAUGUUUUAAUUUAAAAUUGUUUUUAAACAAUAAAAAUAAUAGAAAAUUAUUACAAAAUCUGAGAAAAUAAUUUAGGUUUGGGCUACAUAUUUUAUUCUACAAUUGUUCAAAUUGUGUACUUGCCCUUCAUAUAAGACCCCUUCAACUUAAAAUGUCCUUAAAAUAAUACACUAAGAUGAAAACUUUCAUAAAAGACAACACUGAAUUCAGAUUACUCAAUAAUUUUAAAACAUUAAUUUUUUCAUGCUGGAAUGAUGGUCCAGCAGUUAAGAGCAUUUUGUAUUCUUCUAGAAGACUCAGGUUUGAUUCCCAGCACCCACAGGCAGUCUCAGUUACCGUGUGUAAUUCCCAGGAGAUCCAAUGCCUUCUUUUGGACUAUACAUGUGCCAAGGAUUUAUAUGUUAUACCUCUUUUGAAGGUUUUAGAAUUUUCUUCUGUUAAUUUAAUCUCACUUUUACUUGGGUCUAUAACAUGCCUUUCCUCGAAUACUUGUUUGGCAUUCCAGAAAUCUUCUAGUCUUCUUAAUAUGUAUAUUUAGUGUUUUAUCUACUAACAAUAUUCAUUUUUUACGAUGCCACGCUCAAUUUUUCUUGUUAUAGAACUUCUAAGGUACAGAUUUUACAAUAAAGAAUUUCUAUUAUAUGACC